GCUUUCUUGAGUGCAUUGAGUGACAUUGAUUUAUCUUAGACACUUGAGAGAAACACUGAUAGUGUGCAUCUGUGAGGUUCUGUUGCUUUUGAUUCACCUCUUGAACUGAUUGAUCAUUUUGUCAUGCUUUGAAUUGCUUGGAUGAUUUCUCUGAGUAUCUGUUUUCUCUGAUUCAGUGUUGGAUAUUUUCUACUUCUUAUCUCUGUCCAGAUUUCUUGAGAAUUGUGUAAUUCUGUUUGUUUCUUUCAUUGUGAGUCUUUGUCGUCUGUCUGUUGAGUCUAUGUCAAUUCCCUGGUGUCCAUUGAAUUGUUCCCUGGUUUUCGUCUUGGUUUUGCACAGGAGUGCAAAAGACUAAGUGUGGUCUAUUUUGAUGAGUCGAUAUUUUAUCGACUUCACUUAGUUUAUUGUGCUAGAAUUAAUCAGGGAAUUGUGCUUAAUUUUC
Molecule: long non-coding RNA, 442 nt
Filed under: Vigna radiata
Lineage: Eukaryota; Viridiplantae; Streptophyta; Magnoliopsida; Fabales; Fabaceae
Description: long non-coding RNA (VRAD_LNC017714)
Source: RNAcentral